CCUACGGGUGGCAGCAGUCGAGAAUCAUUCACAAUGGGGGAAACCCUGAUGGUGCGACGCCGCGUGGGGGAAUGAAGGUCUUCGGAUUGUAAACCCCUGUCAUGUGGGAGCAAAUUAAAAAGAUAGUACCACAAGAGGAAGAGACGGCUAACUCUGUGCCAGCAGCCGCGGUAAUACAGAGGUCUCAAGCGUUGUUCGGAAUCACUGGGCGUAAAGCGUGCGUAGGCUGUUUCGUAAGUCGUGUGUGAAAGGCGCGGGCUCAACCCGCGGACGGCACAUGAUACUGCGAGACUAGAGUAAGGGAGGGGGAACCGGAAGUCUCGGUGGAGCAGUGAAAUGCGUAGAUAUCGAGAGGAACACUCGUGGCGAAGGCGGGUUCCUGGACAUUAACUGACGCUGAGGCACGAAGGCCAGGGGAGCGAAAGGGAUUAGAUACCCUGGUAGUC
Molecule: ribosomal RNA, 446 nt
Filed under: uncultured bacterium
Lineage: Bacteria
Description: partial 16S ribosomal RNA
Rfam family: Bacterial small subunit ribosomal RNA
Source: RNAcentral